AUGAUAGAGCUCAGAUUUGAACCCAGGCUUUUUUUUUUUGUCUCUUUCUAUUCUGUUUGCUUUGAUUCAGGGAGGAAGAAGAAACAGCGUGCAUCCUAUAGGUGUUCCCCAGGCCUGACUCCUGUGGAAGAAAUGGAGAUGAGAACUACAGGGGAAGUGGAGAGAGUAUGGAUAAGUGAGACAUGGAUGAAGAAGCUCUGGAGGGGGCAGAAGGCUCAGUCUAACAGGAUGAUCUGUGUUGCCUCUGGGCUAACUUCAGAAGAGCCAAGUGGCAGCUACUGACUCACCAUUUCCUGUGUCACGUAGGCCUCUGAUGUGAAUUAAGUAGAGAACUGAGCUGAAAAGAAAGAUAACAUGGAUGAUGAGGCAACAUUUACGAAGGAAAAUGAUAGAGGAAGAUGAGCAAUAAUACUUGUAAAAAGACCCAUACUUAAUAUACUGAAACACUACUCAAGGAUCGUUUACUUUGAUGGGAAGAAAGGAGGCAUUUGGUACUCCUGGAAGGAUAUCAUGCUUAGCAAGGACAUUGGUAAGUUGUUGAGUGUCUAAGAAGGCUACUAAGGUGAUGAAGGUCCUUGAGAUUAUGGCUAAUUAAGUCUGGUUGAAGGGACUGAGAAUGUUUAGUCUUGAGAAAGAAUCCAACACGAUAAGGAGUGAUAAAUCUUGCUCUGUUUGGCCCCAGAUGGACUGAAUUAGGAGCAAGGGGUAGAAAUCAUGCAGAAGUAAAUUAAGGUUUGAUGUCAGGAAAAAACUACUCGACAGUGGAAAGCUGUCCAAGAGUACAAUAAUAGCUAACAUUGAUGUAACUCUUUAAUGUAUUUACUAAUCCCAUUUUUACAUUUUAACAACAACUCUGGGAGGCACAUGCUAUUCUUAUCCUCAUUUUACAGAUGAAAAAGAAUCUGAGGCAGACAAAGGUUAAGGAGAUUGCCUAGGCUCAUGUGGCUAAUGGGUAUCUGGAAGUGGAUUUGAACCCAGGCUUUCCUGUUUCCAAAUAUAGUGCUCUGUCCACUAUGUCAACUAGUUGCCUCAGGAGUUGAAUUUUUGCUUUAGAAAGUUGUGUCUUUCAUCCUCAUUGGAAGUCUUGAGUCAAAGGCUAGACAGCAACUCAUUGGGUAAGGUAGGUCAUUGGUGGGAUUCAUGUCUAGUAGAGUCUUGCUGGCUUCUGAAAUUCCUUCUGAUUCUGAGGUUUGGUGAUUCCAUGUGCCUGAGGUAGCACCAAGCAUCAACCCACUUCUCUAAGGUUCUGCUAUAUGAGGCACCUUCCUUUUGCUAUAUAGCCCUGCUAAGCCUGUUUAGCAUUCUG
RNAcentral lists this long non-coding RNA (1306 nucleotides) under Monodelphis domestica (gray short-tailed opossum). RNAcentral's name for it is "lncRNA (ENSMODG00000031832.2)". The record is from RNAcentral. Lineage: Eukaryota; Metazoa; Chordata; Mammalia; Didelphimorphia; Didelphidae.